CUGCUGCGAGCGGAUCAAUGGCGUGUCAAGCAAUCAAAGUGUGCAUUUGGCCAACAACAAAUAGCAUAUCUGGGCCAUGUGAUUAACGCAUCCGGUGUCUCCACCGACCCUAGAAAGAUUGAGACAAUCAAGAACUGGCCGAAACCUCUGAAUGUGAAGGAAGUACGCAACUUCUUGGGAUUAGCAGGGUAUUACCAAGUUUGUCAAGCAUUUCAGGAUCAUCGCCCGACCACUAUUCAAUCUACUCAAGAUCGGCACCCGUUUGUCUGGACCGAUGACACACAAAAAGCAUUUGACUUACUCAAGCACGGCCUAGUCUCAGCUCCAGUGUUGCAACUUCCUGAUUUCUCCAAGACCUUUGUGAUAGACACAGAUGCAUGCGAUUAUGGAGUGGGCGUAGUUCUGCAACAAGGGCGCCAUCUGAUUGCAUACAUGAGUAAACCACUGGGUCCCAAGAACCAUGGCCUGUCCACCUACGAAAAAGAAUGCCUCGCUAUCUUGAUGGCCAUUGAACAGUGGCGUCCAUAUUUGCACACCGAUGAGUUCCUUAUCAGAACUGACCAAUGCAGCCUAGUUCACCUUGAUGAUCAACGGUUAUCAACUGUUUGGCAACAGAAGGUCUUUACCAAGCUAUUGGGGCUGCGUUACAAGAUUUUCUAUAGGCAAGGUGCCACCAACAGUGCAGCAGAUGCUCUAUCUCGUCGUGUACAUUUGAUAGAGCAACUAACAACAGUUUCUGUGUGUCAACCAACAUGGAUUGAAGAUAUCCGCGCAAGCUAUGUCAACAAUGAGCAGGUUCAAAGGAUACGAGAACAACUGCGCCAACGUCCUGACCCCAAAGGUCGCUUCACUUGGUCA
This 858-nucleotide ribosomal RNA is filed under the name Triticum aestivum (bread wheat). RNAcentral describes it as "partial small subunit ribosomal RNA". Lineage: Eukaryota; Viridiplantae; Streptophyta; Magnoliopsida; Poales; Poaceae. The record is from RNAcentral.